This is a long non-coding RNA of Pristis pectinata (smalltooth sawfish), 2794 nucleotides long. RefSeq lists it as uncharacterized. The record is from RefSeq and is a predicted model, not a curated record. The transcript has 4 exons. Lineage: Eukaryota; Metazoa; Chordata; Chondrichthyes; Rhinopristiformes; Pristidae.
GGCGGCGGCGGCGGCCAAUGGGACGCGGCGGAGCUGGUGACGGAGGGAGGGCGAGACGAACGGCGACAGAAGUGGCGGCGAGAGGGUUUUGUGCGGAGGAGAGAGGUUAAGAUUUUGAAAUGAAUACAAACAAAGCCUUGACUAAACAUUGUGACCCGAACCAGCAACCCCCAACUCCAAGUCUAACAAAAAGAAAACGAGCACAAGAAAAGAAAUUUUUCAGAAGUCCAACGGACAGCAUGUUAUCUCCAUGCUCACAAAGACUGAUGAAACCCAAGCAUGCCAGUCCUACAGAGCUUCAAAACAGCAAGAUUACUGCCCAACAAGCUCAUGAAUUGACUCUCGACGACAAAGAAAAUAACAUCAAUACUCAGGAGCAGAGACUUUCUUUUGGAAGAAAUGACAAUUAACUUGAUUUUCUUUUGGGGGGGGGAAUGAAAUAAAAUGUACAGUGUUUUUAGUGCUCUGUACAGAGGAAGAAUCUAUAAUCUCUCUUUAAAUUUGCAUUUGCACCUCUUUGGGACUAUAUACACUACACUGGAUGUUUUUAUUAGGUAAAAAUUAUCAGAAGAUUGUGGGAUAAGAACAAACGUUGCACUUUCACUUUGUCAUUUAAUGUACAGUUUUCAAUCAAUCAAAAAUAAAUGUCACUUUAUAUCUGGUUACUUCCUAUUUAAGAGCCUGAAUAAAAUUUUCAGCAUUGUUACUAUGUCAUGUUAAAUAUGUGAAUUUAUUUUAAUCCUGCAGUGGUAAGUGGAGAUUAAAUAUUUUCACAUGUUUCCAUAUAAAACUUAUACUUAAUUCAUUAAACAUCCCAAGGUGCUUCACAGGAGCCAAUCGAUGCUUGUGGAGUGGAGGUGGGGGGAGAAUUUCAUGUACCAUAGGGAUUUUGGAGUCUUAGUGACACAUUAGGGUUUGGUUGAAUGGGUGUCAAAUUAUUAGACUUUGUCACACAAGCCUGACCACUUGAAGUUUAAUGUGGAAUACAAGCAGCUGAGUUUUGGGUAACUGAGUUUAAAGAAGGUGGCAGUGGAAAUGUCAACUCUGGAGGUAAUUAAGAUCCUGAGGAUUUUAACAACUGAUGAUCUAAAGUAGUGCAUUAAUAGAGAGUUACCUUGCAAGAGAAGCUCAGCUUGGAAUCAGAUGCAGCUUGUUGCAUCCAGCCCAGUUCACCCUCCACUGGUCAAGAACAAGGUGAAGUUUGUGGUGAUGGAUGUUGAUGGCAACAGACAUUUUAAUAGGAGGAAAUGUCUGCAACUCUGUUGGAUAUUGAACAAGCGACAGAUCUGAGAGGGUACAGAGAUCAUAUAAGAUGGACCAGGGUGGUAUUACCAUCCAUAGAUUUGGAUUUUUUCUCUCUCAUACUGUCAAAGAAAAACAAGCAAUCGAAUGGAGGCAUAAAAAUUCCCCAAAAUAUUGAAAAUUCCCCAAAAUAUUGAAAAAUGGAUUUGUAUAAAGAGUUAGUGUACAGUGCAAUUUUAAGCUCUAUAUAAGAAGAAUGUUCCAAAAGCAAGAUGUAGAUGAAGCAUUUUUUUAAAUACAGAGAAAAUGGGGAGGAAAAACAACUGGUAGGUUCUAGCUGAAAUGUCGUCCAACUUGUGUUGCCUAAUCUCAGACUUCCAGUAUUUUAAUUGUAGUUUUUCCAGUCCCUGCAAUAUUUCGCUUGUAUAAAGGGAGGGAUUUGGAAUGAAUCAGGAAAAAUAUUUUUCUAUUAGCUGUGCAAUGCCCUAAUGGUUCCAUAGCAAUUCAAGAACAAAAGUCAUCUCAAACUCUCACUUGUUUCACAGAUCAUACCAGAUCUGUAGCUAUUCCAGUUUUCCAGUUCCUUGCCUUGAUGUUUGUAUCCCUUAAUGGCUUUGUUUAACAUGCAUUAUUUUUGGAUGUGAAAAUUGUAAUUAACUCUUCUGUACUAUGGGGACUAUCUCAGAUUUUCAUUAUGUCUAUUCAAGAUAGUUUGGCUCCAAUUUUAUCACUUUCUUUUUCCACCUUUUUUUAAAAAUGAAUUGUCCUGUUUCAGAGGUUGAGCAUGAGUUUGUGAUGCUAUGAAAGGUCAUCAGAUUUUGGUCUUUAAUUUUGAUAUCUGAAAUUGAUAACAGGACAGUAGAACACGAGCAGGCCCUUCAGCCCACUAUGUCUGUGCUGACCUUGACAAUUUAAACUGCACCUAGUCUAUAUACCAGAGAUUCCCAGGAGUCAGUGAAGUGAAACAAAUUUGAUCUUUACCAUUUGUAAAUAAUGAAGGGCCAAAGAAUAAUCAACUUUCCAUUCUUAAAAAUGACUUCAUAAGGUCCUUGAUCAACCAGUGUUGUCUUUUUUAUCUCUCUUAUUUUUGCAGUUGGGAGACAUUCCUUUUACACAAAAUGUAAUGCAGAUAUUUGUUUGGUGUUUUAAUACCACAACUCUUUCCUAUAGCCCUGCAAAUGUUUUUCCCUCCCAAGUAUCCCAUUUGUUUUUCAAAGUUAUUGAAUCACAAUGUGCUUUUUAAAUGUCCAUAGUUACACAUGGUUAUUUUUGCUAAUUUCUUUAAAUCUGUGCUCUUUAACUUCAGAUUUUCAGUGUAAUUGAAUCUAUCAUCUUUCGUACAUUCAAGCAAAUCAUCUCUGAACUUCCAAGGCCUUGGCAUCCCUUUCAUGAAGUACAGUGCCUAGAAAGGAACACAAUACUCCAACUGGGAUCUCAUAAUUUAGCACCACCUUUGUGGUGCAAAUGCUAUCUUCCUACUCAAAUCUGCAGUUAUGUUACACUAUUAACAACAGUGGAAAAGGGAAGCUACUAACUUGCCAUGUGUACUGGA